Long non-coding RNA from Canis lupus familiaris (dog), 1653 nucleotides. RefSeq lists it as uncharacterized. Lineage: Eukaryota; Metazoa; Chordata; Mammalia; Carnivora; Canidae. The transcript has 3 exons. The record is from RefSeq and is a predicted model, not a curated record.
CGGGUGCUUCCGCCUGGGGGCGCCCGCGCGGGGGAGCGCAGGGAGGGGGUGCCUGAGUCAGCGGCCGCGGUCCAAGAAAACAGGCCGGAGUCACCUGCCUGCCGUGGGGGUGUCCCAGCCAGCUGCCCCGGCGGCCUGGCCGCCUGCAUCCCUUAACGGUGACCUCAGAAGGCGUUUAUGGAGCGAUUAACCUGCGCCAGGCCUGCCUAGUGCAGCGGGGGACCAGCCGCCCAGCCGUGACCUUUCCGGGCCUGUUCCUGCGGCUCUGGGCGCUCCCCGUGGCUGCAGAGACCGGGCCUCCCGCGCGCUCACCCUGGAGCGCCCAGGGGGGCUGGGGGUGGGCAGGAUUGCCCUACCCAUUCCACAGACCACCCACUGAGGCCUCGCAGCAGCAGGUGAAGACGGGACACGUGCGGUGUCUCCCACCACAUUGCUGUCUGGGUAGAGAACGUUUUGAGGAUGACCCUGAUGGGCACGGGGCCUCUCAGUUCUCCUGCUCCCUCUGCCCAAAGGAAGGGGACCCCAGGACCUACUCCCCUACCCCAGGUCCGUUUAUCUGGUUUCUCACUUUAUCUGGCCUGGCCACCUCCCCGGGGCGGUGUUGCUUUCCAGGUCUCCCUCCAGCUCCCACCCAGUGCUCCUGCAGCGUCUGACAGGCCCCCCACCCAGUCACACCCACACCCUCCCAGCCCCACAGGGUCAGGGCUGGGCUGCAAGCAGAGGCUGAGACAACCGUCAUCCCUUGCCGGGGACUGUGGCUGAGGCAUGGAGGUGGCGGGACAGAGGACAGGGAUCCAGAAAAGCAUCCCUGUGCUCCAGCUGGUCCUGGGUGGGAGCACACACGCAGUCCGAGGGGAACCCCUUCCUCAACAAGGAACAAACCCUUCUGGGAGCCUGCCCUCGAGGAAAAGGUUGUGGUCGCCGGUUCCUGGUCAUAGGACCUGCUCCAGCCUUGGGGCCUCCACCCCAGGACCAGGCUGAGGAAUCCUGGCUGUAUCCGGAGCCGUACCCCCACCUGGAGGCUGAGAUCUCCCAGGAAACAGGCGUCUGGGAGAAGGACCGGGGCGUGGGUGGUGCUGGCCCAGCCAGCUGGAUGGAAGUGCUGCUGUCCUGGCCACACUGCUGUGCCCCUCGACCACCCCUUGGGCCCCACACUGCGUCCCUGGUCUUACUGGUCCCAAGGCCUGAGCAGGAGCUCUAGGACCCAGCCUCCCAAAACGAGGGAACAGGGACAAGCGGGCCUGCACCUGGGAUCCCGUGGCUCUCGUGGCAUCCUCUGGCCUGGGGGCCCCUGGGGGAGUGGGCGCCAGCCGCCUGGGCCUACCAGCCUGAGUGGGGGGGCCCAGACAGAAAGGCCCCCUAGCUGUGAGCUGGCCCGCAGACCCCCACAAGCACAGCUCCCGCCACCUUUAUCCUCUGAUGAAGCCACGGGACAGUCACUCACACGGGACCGUGACACACAAGUACACAGCCCAUCUCUGCUGACAACAUGCCCAGGGGUGGCCUCCCUAUCACCUCCAGGCUGCUGAUGACACAUAGGAAGACCCGGACUCCCCUGCACACUCACCCCCCUGGAAUCUCCUGCCAGCCUGGCUCAAGCUCAGGGCUUAGAAAAGGGGGGACGCACACGGCUGGAGAAAAGGCCAGGUGAGG